Molecule: ribosomal RNA, 253 nt
Filed under: uncultured bacterium
Lineage: Bacteria
Description: partial 16S ribosomal RNA
Rfam family: Bacterial small subunit ribosomal RNA
Source: RNAcentral
UACGGGGGGAGCAAGCGUUGUUCGGAUUUACUGGGCGUAAAGGGCGCGUAGGCGGUAGCACAAGUCAGUCGUGAAAUCUCCGGGCUUAACUCGGAAAGGUCAACUGAUACUGUGCGGCUAGAGUGCAGAAGGGGCAACUGGAAUUCUCGGUGUAGCGGUGAAAUGCGUAGAUAUCGAGAGGAACACCUGCGGCGAAGGCGGGUUGCUGGGCUGACACUGACGCUGAGGCGCGAAAGCCAGGGGAGCGAACGGG